GAUGAAGAACGUAGCGAAAUGCGAUAAGUAAUGUGAAUUGCAGAAUUCCGUGAAUCAUCGAAUCUUUGAACGCACAUUGCGCCCGUCGGCAUUCCGACGGGCACGCCUGUCCGAGCGUCAUUACACCGAUCACGCCUCGCGUGGUGUUGGGGGCCGGUCGCGCGCCGUCGCGACCCCCCCCGGAACCCGUUGGCGGUGGCCCGUUCGCCCCGAUCGUCGCGCAUGUUACGACGGGGCGGGGGACCGCCCGCCGAACCCCCCAUCUUAACGCAAGUUUGACCUCGGAUCAGGCGGGGAUACCCGCUGAACUUAAGCAUAUCAAUAAGCGGAGGA
Molecule: unclassified non-coding RNA, 333 nt
Filed under: soil metagenome
Description: partial contains 5.8S ribosomal RNA, internal transcribed spacer 2, and large subunit ribosomal RNA
Rfam family: 5.8S ribosomal RNA (bases 1-120)
Source: RNAcentral